This 498-nucleotide ribosomal RNA is filed under the name uncultured bacterium. Its description in RNAcentral is "partial 16S ribosomal RNA". It matches the Rfam family "Bacterial small subunit ribosomal RNA", at positions 30 to 523 of the family's 1533-position model. The record is from RNAcentral.
AUUGAACGCUGGCGGCAUGCCUUACACAUGCAAGUCGAACGGUAACAGGUCUUCGGAUGCUGGCGAGUGGCGAACGGGUGAGUAAUACAUCGGAACGUGCCUAGUGGUGGGGGAUAACUACUCGAAAGAGUGGCUAAUACCGCAUGAGAUCUACGGAUGAAAGCAGGGGAUCGCAAGACCUUGUGCUACUAGAGCGGCCGAUGGCAGAUUAGGUAGUUGGUGGGAUAAAAGCUUACCAAGCCGACGAUCUGUAGCUGGUCUGAGAGGACGAUCAGCCACACUGGGACUGAGACACGGCCCAGACUCCUACGGGAGGCAGCAGUGGGGAAUUUUGGACAAUGGGCGAAAGCCUGAUCCAGCAAUGCCGCGUGCAGGAUGAAGGCCUUCGGGUUGUAAACUGCUUUUGUACGGAACGAAAAGCCCCGGGUUAAUACCCUGGGGUCAUGACGGUACCGUAAGAAUAAGCACCGGCUAACUACGUGCCAGCAGCCGCAGUAA